This 228-nucleotide long non-coding RNA is filed under the name Elaeis guineensis (African oil palm). RNAcentral describes it as "long non-coding RNA (EGUI_LNC031374)". Lineage: Eukaryota; Viridiplantae; Streptophyta; Magnoliopsida; Arecales; Arecaceae. The record is from RNAcentral.
GGUGCUAUCUCCUUUGUAGAGAUCGCUAUUUGGAUUAUCAAAUCUUUUGUCUCUUUCAAUUCUCUUCUCAAGAAAAUCAAAGAGAUCUGUAGGAGGAUCAAAAAAUUAGAUCUAAUUUAAUUUUUUUUUUCUUCUCAAAAGAAAGAAGAAGAUCUAGAGAAAAGAACAAGAGAUCAAAUCUCUUUUCUUUCCUUUCCGUCUAACUCUUGGACUAAAUAUGGAGGAGAA